Molecule: ribosomal RNA, 468 nt
Filed under: uncultured bacterium
Lineage: Bacteria
Description: partial 16S ribosomal RNA
Rfam family: Bacterial small subunit ribosomal RNA
Source: RNAcentral
GACGAACGCUGGCGGCGCGCUUAACACAUGCAAGUCGAACGGAAAGGCCCUGCUUUUGUGGGGUGCUCGAGUGGCGAACGGGUGAGUAACACGUGAGUAACCUGCCCUUGACUUUGGGAUAACUUCAGGAAACUGGGGCUAAUACCGGAUAGGAGCUCCUGCUGCAUGGUGGGGGUUGGAAAGUUUCGGCGGUUGGGGAUGGACUCGCGGCUUAUCAGCUUGUUGGUGGGGUAGUGGCUUACCAAGGCUUUGACGGGUAGCCGGCCUGAGAGGGUUACCGGCCACAUUGGGACUGAGAUACGGCCCAGACUCGUACGGGAGGCAGCAGUGGGGAAUAUUGCACAAUGGGCGGAAGCCUGAUGCAGCAACGCCGGGUGCGGGAUGACGGCCUUCGGGUUGUAAACCGAUUUCGCAUGUGCCGAAGAGUGAGUGACGGUAAUGGGUAAAGAAGCACCGGCUAACUACGUG